GAGAUAAUAUUAUUUUGCUAUUCACAAUCAGUUACGUUCCGCUACAUAUGAUAAUUACCUUAUAUGGAAGAGAGAGAAAACAAACCCCCUCUUACCAAUUAGUUUGUGUUUGUAAUUAAGGAGUAACUGCAUGCGCUUAAAUUGUUACUGUUUGACCAUGCAAUGCAUGCUAUUCUUCUUCUUUAAAUUUCCUCAGCUUUAUCUUGGAUUCUUUUUCAUGACGACUGUGUGAAAAGGAAGUCAUUAAUUAUAAACAUCUAGGCC
Molecule: long non-coding RNA, 264 nt
Filed under: Prunus persica (peach)
Lineage: Eukaryota; Viridiplantae; Streptophyta; Magnoliopsida; Rosales; Rosaceae
Description: long non-coding RNA (PPER_LNC005659)
Source: RNAcentral